UAUAUAUUAAUAUGUGUGUCACGGUGAAAAAAAAACAGUCCAAGUAGAUUCUGUGUGCAAUCUACGUUGGUGCAAUGCAAGUAAAAAUGCGAAAAAAGUUUAUGUAUAAUGAUAGUGAUGGCAUAGCUGCAGUUCCUUUGAUGCUAUUUCGGUGGGGAAAUAUGCACCCAUCUUCCCCUUUUCGACCGUCUGUCAUAUCCUUGAUUAUCAAUGUGUGUGUCUGUGGUUUCCUGAUCGCGUUAGCAAUCAAAGGAAUCAUAGUGUCUUACAACAAUGAUAUUUUCUUCACGGUUGAGUGUCUACAAACUUGUAAUUUGAUGUUUCACGGCAUUGGAAAAUUCCUAAACCUGUUUUUUCACAGAGCCAAUUUGAAGAUUUUGGUGGAAAGCCGGUCACAAUUCUGGAAAAUUGACGAUUUCAAAGGGGAGGACAUUUACGAUGAAAUGGAAAAAAUAAAAACCGUUAUGGGCAAAGGAUUGAUUUACUAUUA
This is a long non-coding RNA of Tribolium castaneum (red flour beetle), 490 nucleotides long. RefSeq lists it as uncharacterized. The transcript has 3 exons. The record is from RefSeq and is a predicted model, not a curated record. Lineage: Eukaryota; Metazoa; Arthropoda; Insecta; Coleoptera; Tenebrionidae.